Molecule: transfer RNA, 82 nt
Filed under: Neolewinella lacunae
Lineage: Bacteria; Pseudomonadati; Bacteroidota; Saprospiria; Saprospirales; Lewinellaceae
Rfam family: tRNA
About the family: Transfer RNA (tRNA) molecules are approximately 80 nucleotides in length. Their secondary structure includes four short double-helical elements and three loops (D, anti-codon, and T loops). Further hydrogen bonds mediate the characteristic L-shaped molecular structure. tRNAs have two regions of fundamental functional importance: the anti-codon, which is responsible for specific mRNA codon recognition, and the 3' end, to which the tRNAs corresponding amino acid is attached (by aminoacyl-tRNA synthetases). tRNAs cope with the degeneracy of the genetic code in two manners: having more than one tRNA (with a specific anti-codon) for a particular amino acid; and 'wobble' base-pairing, i.e. permitting non-standard base-pairing at the 3rd anti-codon position.
Source: Rfam by way of RNAcentral
GCGGGUGUGGUGAAAUUGGUAUACACGCCAGACUUAGGAUCUGGUGCCGCAAGGCGUGAAGGUUCGAGUCCUUUCACCCGCA